UACAGAGGGGGCAAGCGUUGUUCGGAAUUACUGGGCGUAAAGGGCGCGUAGGUGGCCUUCUAAGUUGAACGUGAAAUCCCUGGGCUCAACCCAGGAACUGCGUCCAAGACUGGGAGGCUUGAAUCCGGGAGAGGGAUGCGGAAUUCCAGGUGUAGCGGUGAAAUGCGUAGAUAUCUGGAGGAACUCCGGUGGCGAAGGCGGCAUGCUGGACCUCUACUGACGCUGAGGCGCGAAAGCCAGGGGAGCAAACGGG
RNAcentral lists this ribosomal RNA (253 nucleotides) under uncultured bacterium. RNAcentral's name for it is "partial 16S ribosomal RNA". It matches the Rfam family "Bacterial small subunit ribosomal RNA", at positions 524 to 776 of the family's 1533-position model. The record is from RNAcentral.